This 253-nucleotide ribosomal RNA is filed under the name uncultured bacterium. RNAcentral's name for it is "partial 16S ribosomal RNA". It matches the Rfam family "Bacterial small subunit ribosomal RNA", at positions 524 to 776 of the family's 1533-position model. The record is from RNAcentral.
UACGUAGGGGGCAAGCGUUGUCCGGAUUUAUUGGGCGUAAAGAGCGUGUAGGCGGCCAGACAGGUCUGCUGUGAAAACUCGAGGCUCAACCUCGAGACGUCGGCGGAAACCAUCUGGCUAGAGUCCGGAAGAGGAGAGUGGAAUUCCUGGUGUAGCGGUGAAAUGCGCAGAUAUCAGGAAGAACACCCGUGGCGAAGGCGGCUCUCUGGGACGGUACUGACGCUGAGACGCGAAAGCGUGGGGAGCGAACAGG